UACGGAGGUGGCAAGCGUUGCUCGGAAUCACUGGGCGUAAAGGGCGCGUAGGCGGGGAGGUAAGUCGGGUGUGAAAUCCCUCGGCCCAACCGAGGAACUGCGCCCGAGACUGCUUCUCUUGAGUCCCGGAGAGGAAGAUGGAAUUCCCGGUGUAGCGGUGAAAUGUGUAGAGAUCGGGAGGAACACCGGCGGCGAAGGCGGUCUUCUGGACGGUGACUGACGCUGAGGCGCGAAAGCGUGGGGAGCAAACGGG
Molecule: ribosomal RNA, 253 nt
Filed under: uncultured bacterium
Lineage: Bacteria
Description: partial 16S ribosomal RNA
Rfam family: Bacterial small subunit ribosomal RNA
Source: RNAcentral